RNAcentral lists this transfer RNA (76 nucleotides) under Cloacimonas sp. (SeqCode). Its description in RNAcentral is "tRNA-Lys". It matches the Rfam family "tRNA". From Rfam's summary of the family: Transfer RNA (tRNA) molecules are approximately 80 nucleotides in length. Lineage: Bacteria; Pseudomonadati; Candidatus Cloacimonadota; Cloacimonadia (SeqCode); Cloacimonadales (SeqCode); Cloacimonadaceae (SeqCode). The record is from RNAcentral.
ACCUCCGUAGCUCAGUUGGCAGAGCAGCUGACUCUUAAUCAGCGGGUCUGGGGUUCGAGUCCCCACGGAGGUACCA